Molecule: ribosomal RNA, 326 nt
Filed under: uncultured eukaryote
Lineage: Eukaryota
Description: partial 18S ribosomal RNA
Rfam family: Eukaryotic small subunit ribosomal RNA
Source: RNAcentral
CCCUUAGAUGUUCUGGGCUGCACGCGCGCUACACUGAUGCACUCAACGAGUUUACGACCUUGCCCGAUAGGGUUGGGUAAUCUUUUUAAAAUGCAUCGUGAUGGGGAUAGAUUAUUGCAAUUAUUAAUCUUCAACGAGGAAUUCCUAGUAAGCGCGAGUCAUCAGCUCGUGCUGAUUACGUCCCUGCCCUUUGUACACACCGCCCGUCGCUCCUACCGAUUGAGUGCUCAGGUGAAUAAUUCGGACUGCAGCAAUGUUUGGAUCCCGAACGUUGCAGCGGAAAGUUUAGUGAACCUUAUCACUUAGAGGAAGGAGAAGUCGUGACA